UGGAGAUGUCUGUCUGUAAGCCAAGAUAAACCAGGAGAGAUUCUUCUCAAACAUCUCAAGAUGGAAGGAACAUGAGCAGCUUUCCUAAUGGUAUAACCUGCUGCUGCCUCUUUUAUCAUUUCCUGUUGUUCUCUGUGGAAAAUGAGUGCAAUGAGUGCAUGAGAAAGACUAGAAUUGAAGGUCAGCAGCUUCUGCAUGUGUCAAGGAGGAGACAGAUAUCCAACCUUUUCUUACCUGCAACUACAGAUCUGAAGAAAGGCAUGAUAGCAGAUAAGAGGCUGUUGUGGCUGUUUUGCUGGACCAUGCCUGAAUGGGUGCUGUGCCGUGCUCCUCUCUGCCUCCAGCAGUGCUAUUAAAGGAAGGAGGGAGUUGUGAAUUCCCGCAGUCUUUGGUAAGGUACAACUUCCUUCCUUGCUC
Molecule: long non-coding RNA, 417 nt
Filed under: Dromaius novaehollandiae (emu)
Lineage: Eukaryota; Metazoa; Chordata; Aves; Casuariiformes; Dromaiidae
Description: lncRNA (ENSDNVG00000014366.1)
Source: RNAcentral